GUCAGCUCGUGCCGUGAGGUGUCGGCUUAAGUGCCAUAACGAGCGCAACCCUUAUCUUCAGUUACUAACAGGUCAUGCUGAGGACUCUGGAGAGACUGCCGUCGUAAGAUGUGAGGAAGGUGGGGAUGACGUCAAAUCAGCACGGCCCUUACGUCCGGGGCUACACACGUGUUACAAUGGGGGGUACAGAAGGCCGCUACCUGGUGACAGGAUGCCAAUCCCAAAAACCUCUCUCAGUUCGGAUCGAAGUCUGCAACCCGACUUCGUGAAGCUGGAUUCGCUAGUAAUCGCGCAUCAGCCAUGGCGCGGUGAAUACGUUCCCGGGCCUUGUACACACCGCCCGUCAAGCCAUGAAAGCCGGGGGUACCUGAAGUACGUAACCGCAAGGAGCGUCCUAGGGUAAAACUGGUAAUUGGGGCUAAGUCGUAACAAGGUAGCCGUACCGGAAGGUGCGGCUGGAUCACCUC
Molecule: ribosomal RNA, 467 nt
Filed under: uncultured bacterium
Lineage: Bacteria
Description: bacterial SSU rRNA
Rfam family: Bacterial small subunit ribosomal RNA
Source: RNAcentral